AGGAGCUUGCUUCUUGAAGUUCAGUGGCGAACGGGUGAGUAAUACUAAGCAACCUGCCCCUAUGACUGGGAUAACCGUUGGAAACGACAGCUAAUACCGGAUAGGUAACCUUGAGGCAUCUUAAGGUUAUUAAAGUUGGGACACAACACGUAGGGAUGGGCUUAUGGCGCAUUAGUUAGUUGGCGGGGUAACGGCCCACCAAGACGAUGAUGCGUAGCCGACCUGAGAGGGUGACCGGCCACACUGGGACUGAGACACGGCCCAGACUCCUACGGGAGGCAGCAGUAGGGAAUUUUCGUCAAUGGGGGAAACCCUGAACGAGCAACGCCGCGUGAGUGAAGAAGGUCUUCGGAUCGUAAAGCUCUGUUGUCAGGGACGAACGCUGCGGAUAGGGAAUGAUCCGCAGGUGACGGUACCUGACCAGCAAGUCACGGCUAACUACGUGCCAGCAGCCGCGGUAAUACGUAGGUGGCGAGCGUUAUCCGGAAUUAUUGGGCGUAAAGGGUGCGCAGGCGGUUGUUCAAGUCCAAGGUGAAAGCCCGAAGCUCAACUUCGGCGAGCCUUGGAAACUGGAUGACUGGAGUGCAGGAGAGGUGAGUGGAAUUCCAUGUGUAGCGGUAAAAUGCGUAGAGAUAUGGAGGAACACCAGUGGCGAAGGCGGCUCACUG
RNAcentral lists this ribosomal RNA (668 nucleotides) under uncultured bacterium. Its description in RNAcentral is "bacterial SSU rRNA". It matches the Rfam family "Bacterial small subunit ribosomal RNA", at positions 74 to 731 of the family's 1533-position model. The record is from RNAcentral.